UUUCGCAUAAUUUUACAACUUAUCCCCGGUGCCAAAGAUCUGAACUACCCUGUGGCCUACGUAAAAUAUAUGAAUAAUAAUAAUAGUAAAACAUCUCGAUCAAUUCAAUGAAAAGUACGUAUACGUUACGAAUGAGAGAGGAAAAGUCAACGUUCUUCUAGUACGUUAGCCGACGCCCUCAGAGAAAUACCGUAGGAUAUGGAAAUUAGGACUGAUGGUUAUACUACUUACUUGUGUUACACUUACAGUUGUAAUUUUGAUGUUUUCCUUACUUAGCUGUUAAAUUAUAGAGUCUGUUCACGUUUUGUAAAAUUCUGUAUUCAUAUUAUUAUUACUAGUUAUUGAUAUACUUGACUUCAGACUGUUCAAAUUCAAUUUCAUUUGCAGUCUUAUCCUUAGGGCUAACCUUGAUCAAGACUUAGAGAAAAAAAAGUUCAAGACUCAGAUGUGUGAAACCACUUCUUCGUAUUUAACAAGUUUGUGGAGGACGUGGUGUUUGAGAGUCAGCAUGAAGCAGUGACAGAAUCAGCAAUAAUGUAAUCAAGAAAGAGAGUAAGAUGGAAAGGGGUAUUUUAUGGGUUGAGUUGGAUGCAUAAAGCUUGCUCAAGAAUCAGGAUAAACAACUGGAGUAAAAAACAAACAAACAAAUGUCAAAUACCUGGGGUAUUAGUGCAGAGAAGGACAAAGGUGGAUAUUACCUGAUCAUAGUUAAGGACAGAAGAACCAGAACCAAUGACAGGCUGUGAGACAAGCUGGUCAUAGACAUCCAAAGAUAAGGCAGCUUGAGCAGAAAUUACAGAAACAAGAGGCCCUGAGCUCUGGAUUUGUGAUGCAGAAUAGAACUAAUUGUCAUGUACAAUGUUGGUAAUUCCAGUCACCAUUUAAAGAAAAUAACUCCUGUGAGGGAGAGUCAGGACCUUGGGAGGAUUCAGAAACAUGGAUAUGAUAUAUAAAAUAAGAUCCAUGAAACUGGAUUCAUGGAAAGUAUUAAUAUUAUUAUUUUAUUUUAAUACAUCUGGUAUGUCCAGGGUAGUUAGGUCUUAAUCAUUUUUGUAUUGAUGAGGUGAGUAUUUAUUUGAAAUGCGUUUUCAUUUGUAGAGUUGAAAUGUUGAUUGUAAUGAAACAUGUAAGAAAAAAAAAACACUGAGCAGAUUUCUAGUCUUUUUAUUGUAGAACCAAUAUAAGUGUCCUGAAAUUUUGGGCAACAGAAUUCCCAAGAGUGUGUAAUUACAAUUGCUGAUUUCUGGGCCAACAGAAUCUGUCUAAAGGAUAAAUAACAAGUUGUAUUUAUCAUACUUUUUCUACUGGGCAAGUAACUGUUUCUUCUCUUAUAGUUUGUUCUGUUGCUAGAAAAACACUUGAGGUAGAAUUCUAGGGUAUCACACAAAUUCCCAAAAAUUGUGCACUGCAGAAGUCUAGCAUAUACACACAAACUUUAAAAAUGCAUACCUUUGAACCUCAAACUAAUUCAUAAACCCUGAGUCACACACAUAGUAAGAAACUAUUGAAUUAAUGUGUAUAUAUAAAACAAUGUUCAUUCAUGGCAGCAUUAAAUGUAAACCAUAAUUUAAUUAUCACUUUAUGCACAUAGUAUUCUACAUGCUAUGCUGUGAAAACAUAAUGAUUAAAUGUUUAAAAUUAUAGAAUACUUGAAUAUAUAUGAAGAUGGAGAACAUGAUGCAAUUCAGUCAUGACCUGCCAUUUGUAUUGAUUUUGAACAUUGUUAAAUAAGAUUUAAAUCCUGAAAGUUAUAUUCUACUUUUUGGGGGAUGGGGAGGAGAAGGCAAUUUCAUUUUCCUAGCAUUCUGUUCCUUGGAUAGAAGGUUUUCAAAAAUAUAACACACUGCAUUUCAAUUGACUUUCUUUUUAUGAAAUGUACAUUAUUAAAGUUUUGUUCACAAAAUUUUUAUUAUU
Long non-coding RNA from Limulus polyphemus (Atlantic horseshoe crab), 1914 nucleotides. RefSeq lists it as uncharacterized. The record is from RefSeq and is a predicted model, not a curated record. NCBI's taxonomy places the organism in Eukaryota, Metazoa, Arthropoda, Merostomata, Xiphosura, Limulidae. The transcript has 3 exons.